CGGCUAUCGAGAACGAAAAAGUGGCGGGGCAUCCAGCUUCCGAACGUGCGUGAGUUAAGCAGCACAGUGUAGGAGCAGUCAGCGUUGCAGAGAGAGGCCAUUUUGUGAUUCUGAGACUUCCUGGUCAUUCUGGAGCAUCAGCAGCUGUACCUGGAUAUGAAUUGCACUGUGAUACAGGGAGAAACUGGAGCUGCCUCAUCAGUGCCAUUUCCGUGUUGUCAGAUCUCAGGAGAAGGACAGCAUGGAUGAAUUUGUGCAACAACCCUUCCAGCCAUAGAAGAUUAUAUCUUACAAGAAAAUCCACUGGUGACCUGUAAGCUUCACUGGCCAUUCCUCACCCACAGUGGUAAGCAGUCUUUUGAGAUCAGCAAGAAUCUUUUUGGUAUACCUGGAAACUAGUCUGAUUAUCUAAGUUUCUAAAGACAUAAUUUAGAACCCACCCUCUGUGGACUAAAGAAUCUGUUUAGUGCUUGUUUCUUGUCUUGGCUGUUCCAUGAUAGUGAGCUUUACCACUUGAAUUCACUGAUUGAAGUUUUAAGCUGAAUUUAUUUUAUUUCUUCUUUCAAAUUCUGUUACCAAAAUUCAGAGUAUUUUGCAGUCCAAAAACUGUUCUUUGCUUCAUCAAAGAUUUUAUUAAACUGGUCUGUCCCAUCCUCCUCACAGGACUGUAGUGAUGCGUAUCCUUGUAUGAUACAGAUAACAGGAAUUACGAGAUUGGCUCUGAAAUAAUAGGGAUGAUACUUUAUCCUCAUCUGCCAUCUGAAGGAAUUGGAGUAAAGGCUGUCAAUUACAGAUCUAAUUGACUAGCCUUACAGAUGUGCUGUGUUAGGAUGAAGACAUUUGGUUCUUAACAGACACAGAGCCCAAGCUUUCUCACUGCAUUUCUGUUACAUGUAAGGAUUAAUGCUGAACAACAGUGAUAACAGAUGAAUCCCAUCUGGUUUUCUGUUAUUUGUUAGUUCAAUUCAGUGUAUAACUACUCACAGUUUAGUCUGCCAGCCAAGGAAGGUAUGCAAUUAUCAACAAUACUGAUAGGACAAACCUGUUAUGUAAGCAUACUUUCAGAUCUCUCUAAAUUCCAUAAUAAAACUCUUGAGGUGAAAUGCACCAGCUUACAGAAUGAUUCAGCAUCAAGGAGAGGUGUGCUUCAGAGCUCUGGGUAGACUAAAUGUCCUUGCUGACUGAUCCCGUGCCUUCCAGUUGAUCUCCUUCCUGUUGCCUCUUUCAGGCAUGAAAUAUAGCAGGAUACUUACGAGAAGUAGAAACAAGAAAAACACAGAGUUGUAAGGAAGAUUUGUGUUUGGAAGACUGUGGGGGCCCAAGCAUGGCAUGCACUGUAUUUGGGGGUGGGGAGGGUCUCGUUAGUGUGACACCUUUGAGCUGUAACUUGUU
This is a long non-coding RNA of Centrocercus urophasianus (Greater sage-grouse), 1392 nucleotides long. RefSeq lists it as uncharacterized. The record is from RefSeq and is a predicted model, not a curated record. The transcript is spliced from 3 exons. Lineage: Eukaryota; Metazoa; Chordata; Aves; Galliformes; Phasianidae.